ACCCCAGUGGCCUAAUGGAUAAGGCACUGGCCUCCUAUGCCAGGGAUUGUGGUUUUGAGUCCCAUCUGGGGUG
Molecule: non-coding RNA, 73 nt
Organism: Oreochromis niloticus (Nile tilapia)
Lineage: Eukaryota; Metazoa; Chordata; Actinopteri; Cichliformes; Cichlidae
Source: Rfam